This 234-nucleotide ribosomal RNA is filed under the name uncultured bacterium. Its description in RNAcentral is "partial 16S ribosomal RNA". It matches the Rfam family "Bacterial small subunit ribosomal RNA", at positions 84 to 334 of the family's 1533-position model. The record is from RNAcentral.
CCGGUGGAGGAGUGGCGAACGGCUGAGUAACACGUAGGAACCUACCCUUUGGUUCGGGAUAACGGAUCGAAAGAACCGCUAAUACCGGAUAUAUCCUUCGGGAGGAAAGCUCCGGCGCCUUAGGAGGGGCCUGCGGCGUAUUAGCUUGAUGGUGGGGUAAUGGCUCACCAUGGCGAUGAUGCGUAGCUGGUCUGAGAGGAUGAUCAGCCAGACUGGGACUGAGACACGGCCCAG